GUCCAGCUGGCGAGUUGCAAAUAGGACGAAACGCGCGUCCUGGAU
RNAcentral lists this non-coding RNA (45 nucleotides) under Schistosoma haematobium. The record is from RNAcentral. Lineage: Eukaryota; Metazoa; Platyhelminthes; Trematoda; Strigeidida; Schistosomatidae.